GGGCCCGCACAAGCAGCGGAGCAUGUGGUUUAAUUCGAAGCAACGCGAAGAACCUUACCAGGUCUUGACAUCCAGUAAAGCCCUAAGAGAUUAGGAUUCCCUUCGGGGGUACUGAGACAGGUGGUGCAUGGUUGUCGUCAGCUCGUGUCGUGAGAUGUUGGGUUAAGUCCCGCAACGAGCGCAACCCUUACGGUUAGUUACUAACAGGUGAUGCUGAGGACUCUAGCAGGACUGCCGGGGACAACUCGGAGGAAGGUGGGGACGACGUUCAAAUCAUCAUGCCCCUUAUGACCUGGGCUACACACGUGCUACAAUGGCCGCAACAAAGGGAAGCCAAGGCGCAAGCCGGAGCGGAUCCCAAAAAGCGGUCCCAGUUCGGAUCGUGGGCUGCAACCCGCCCGCGUGAAGAUGGAGUUGCUAGUAAUCGCGAAUCAGCAUGUCG
This 442-nucleotide ribosomal RNA is filed under the name uncultured Bacillota bacterium. Its description in RNAcentral is "bacterial SSU rRNA". It matches the Rfam family "Bacterial small subunit ribosomal RNA", at positions 917 to 1359 of the family's 1533-position model. The record is from RNAcentral. Lineage: Bacteria; Bacillati; Bacillota.